This 909-nucleotide ribosomal RNA is filed under the name Pseudomonas sp. UST050418-272. RNAcentral's name for it is "bacterial SSU rRNA". It matches the Rfam family "Bacterial small subunit ribosomal RNA", at positions 68 to 970 of the family's 1533-position model. Lineage: Bacteria; Pseudomonadati; Pseudomonadota; Gammaproteobacteria; Pseudomonadales; Pseudomonadaceae. The record is from RNAcentral.
GGAUGAAGAGAGCUUGCUCUCUGAUUCAGCGGUCGGACGGGUGAGUAAUGCCUAGGAAUCUGCCUGGUAGUGGGGGACAACGUUUCGAAAGGAACGCUAAUACCGCAUACGUCCUACGGGAGAAAGCAGGGGACCUUCGGGCCUUGCGCUAUCAGAUGAGCCUAGGUCGGAUUAGCUAGUUGGUGAGGUAAUGGCUCACCAAGGCGACGAUCCGUAACUGGUCUGAGAGGAUGAUCAGUCACACUGGAACUGAGACACGGUCCAGACUCCUACGGGAGGCAGCAGUGGGGAAUAUUGGACAAUGGGCGAAAGCCUGAUCCAGCCAUGCCGCGUGUGUGAAGAAGGUCUUCGGAUUGUAAAGCACUUUAAGUUGGGAGGAAGGGAAGUAAUUUAAUACUCUGCAAUUUUGACGUUACCGACAGAAUAAGCACCGGCUAACUCUGUGCCAGCAGCCGCGGUAAUACAGAGGGUGCAAGCGUUAAUCGGAAUUACUGGGCGUAAAGCGCGCGUAGGUGGUUUGUUAAGUUGGAUGUGAAAGCCCCGGGCUCAACCUGGGAACUGCAUCCAAAACUGGCAAGCUAGAGUACGGUAGAGGGUGGUGGAAUUUCCUGUGUAGCGGUGAAAUGCGUAGAUAUAGGAAGGAACACCAGCUGGCGAAGGCGACCACCUGGACUGAUACUGACACUGAGGUGCGAAAGCGUGGGGAGCAAACAGGAUUAGAUACCCUGGUAGUCCACGCCGUAAACGAUGUCAACUAGCCGUUGGAAUCCUUGAGAUUAGUGGCGCAGCCUAACGCAUUAAGGUUGACCGCCUGGGGAGUACGGCCGCAAGGUUAAAACUCAAACUGAAUUGACGGGGGCCCGCACAAGCGGUGGAGCAUGUGGUUAAUUCGAAGCAACGCGAAGAACC